UACGGGAGGCAGCAGUGAGGAAUAUUGGUCAAUGGGCGUGAGCCUGAACCAGCCAAGUAGCGUGCAGGAUGACGGCCCUAUGGGUUGUAAACUGCUUUUAUGCGGGGAUAAAGUCACCCACGUGUGGGUGUUUGCAGGUACCGCAUGAAUAAGGACCGGCUAAUUCCGUGCCAGCAGCCGCGGUAAU
RNAcentral lists this ribosomal RNA (187 nucleotides) under uncultured rumen bacterium. RNAcentral's name for it is "partial 16S ribosomal RNA". It matches the Rfam family "Bacterial small subunit ribosomal RNA", at positions 340 to 524 of the family's 1533-position model. The record is from RNAcentral.